Molecule: unclassified non-coding RNA, 22 nt
Filed under: Chlamydomonas reinhardtii
Lineage: Eukaryota; Viridiplantae; Chlorophyta; Chlorophyceae; Chlamydomonadales; Chlamydomonadaceae
Description: small RNA Cre_2188
Source: RNAcentral
UACAUGACGCACCUAGCGGAGC